This 301-nucleotide ribosomal RNA is filed under the name uncultured bacterium. RNAcentral's name for it is "partial 16S ribosomal RNA". It matches the Rfam family "Bacterial small subunit ribosomal RNA", at positions 509 to 807 of the family's 1533-position model. The record is from RNAcentral.
CAGCAGCCGCGGUAAUACGAAGGGUGCAAGCGUUAAUCGGAAUUACUGGGCGUAAAGCGUGCGUAGGCGGUUUGUUAAGUCUGCUGUGAAAUCCCCGGGCUCAACCUGGGAAUGGCAGUGGAUACUGGCAAGCUAGAGUGUGUCAGAGGAUGGUGGAAUUCCCGGUGUAGCGGUGAAAUGCGUAGAGAUCGGGAGGAACAUCAGUGGCGAAGGCGGCCAUCUGGGACAACACUGACGCUGAGGCACGAAAGCGUGGGGAGCAAACAGGAUUAGAUACCCGGGUAGUCCCUGUCUCUUAUAC